CGUAGGGUGCCAGCGUUGUCCGGAAUUAUUGGGCGUAAAGAGCUCGUAGGCGGUUUGUUGCGUCGGCUGUGAAAACCUGAGGCUCAACCUCAGGCCUGCAGUCGAUACGAGCAGACUAGAGUGUUGCAGGGGAGACUGGAAUUCCUGGUGUAGCGGUGAAAUGCGCAGAUAUCGGGAGGAACACCGGUGGCGAAGGCGGGUCUCUGGGCAACAACUGACGCUGAGGAGCGAAAGCGUGGGGAGCGAACAGG
This 251-nucleotide ribosomal RNA is filed under the name uncultured bacterium. RNAcentral describes it as "partial 16S ribosomal RNA". It matches the Rfam family "Bacterial small subunit ribosomal RNA", at positions 526 to 776 of the family's 1533-position model. The record is from RNAcentral.